AUCUUUCUCUAGGAGAAACAAUGAUGAAAUCAAACAAUUGAUGAUGAGAUCAAUGCAUCCCAUUUGUUGAAUUAUGUGGACCCAAUAUGGGACCCACGUAAUUCGAUGGUUGGUAUUGAGUAAGCUUAUUUGCACUUAGUUAAUGCAAGUGUCGACCCAACUUGACUCACAAAUUCUGGCAAAACAAAUUCAAAAGAAGAAAAGAAAACAUGACUCA
This 217-nucleotide long non-coding RNA is filed under the name Eucalyptus grandis. RNAcentral describes it as "long non-coding RNA (EGRA_LNC004265)". Lineage: Eukaryota; Viridiplantae; Streptophyta; Magnoliopsida; Myrtales; Myrtaceae. The record is from RNAcentral.